This 253-nucleotide ribosomal RNA is filed under the name uncultured bacterium. Its description in RNAcentral is "partial 16S ribosomal RNA". It matches the Rfam family "Bacterial small subunit ribosomal RNA", at positions 524 to 776 of the family's 1533-position model. The record is from RNAcentral.
UACGGAGGGUGCGAGCGUUAUCCGGAAUUACUGGGUUUAAAGGGUUCGUAGGCGGCUGUGUAAGUCAGGAGUGAAAGUUUGCGGCUCAACCGUAAAAUUGCUUUUGAUACUGCACGGCUGGAAUCAGGAUGAGGUCAGCGGAAUGUGGCAUGUAGCGGUGAAAUGCAUAGAUAUGCCAUAGAACACCAAUUGCGAAGGCAGCUGGCUAGACCUGUAUUGACGCUGAGGCACGAAAGCGUGGGGAGCGAACAGG